This 478-nucleotide long non-coding RNA is filed under the name Lactuca sativa (garden lettuce). RNAcentral describes it as "long non-coding RNA (LSAT_LNC009253)". The record is from RNAcentral. Lineage: Eukaryota; Viridiplantae; Streptophyta; Magnoliopsida; Asterales; Asteraceae.
AGUAAAAGGGGAUGAAAGAAUGGAAAUUAGGUUUGGGGGAAACGCCAGAGGAAAACCUACCGUGAAGUCUUCUACCUCAGCGUAAGGUCACAACUUGGCAACCAAGCUUCACCACGAUAUCGUUGGUCGAUUUGUAACGAGGAAGGCCUGACGUCGCCGGAGGAGAAGUGACCAAAGGCGAAGCAAGGUGAAUCGUCCAAUGUUUCAGAGCUAAGAGAGAUGCGAGAGUGUUUUCGUUCUUGAAAAAAGCCCUAGCUAAAAUGGUCACAACGAUUUUGUGGAAUUUAGUAUUUGGUGAUGUUUUAGGAUUUUGUUGUGCAAGAAAAUAGGAGUGGUUAUGAUAUUAGGGUUUUUUGGGUAUUGAUCAGUGAGGAGAGGGAAGAACGAUGGAAAUAAUGCAGAGGAUGAACGAGAUGUUUGAUGAUACUGAAGAUGAAGAUAAGGGACCUGGGGCUUUUUCUUGCUAAGUAGAAGAGGC